UGAAAGCCUCCCAAGCCCGGGUACGACGCAAACGCUGGUACCUCAGGUGCCAAGGAACAGCAACAGAGCGGGAGCGCCUAACGCCAAUUGCACCCGAAAUGACUCUCAACAACGGAUAUCUCAGCUCUCGCAUCGAUGAAGAACGUAGGGAAAUGCAAUACUUGGUGUGAAUUGCAAAAUCCCGUGAACUAUCGAGUCUUUGAAUGCAAGUUGCGCCCAAAGCCAUUAGGCCGAGGGCACGCCUGCUUGGGCGUCACGCAAGGUCGCCGCCACCCCACGCGGGGCACGGCGAAUGAUGGCCUCCCGAGGCCUCUAUCCCCCAGCUGGCCGAAAUAACUGCCUAGCGCAAUGGCGGCCAUGAUCCACGGAGAAGUUCGAGACCGAACGUGAUCGCACAAUCCCAUGGGGAGGGUCGGACCCCGAAUCCCUCCGCGACCCUAGGUCAGGCGG
Molecule: unclassified non-coding RNA, 450 nt
Filed under: Anadenanthera colubrina var. cebil
Lineage: Eukaryota; Viridiplantae; Streptophyta; Magnoliopsida; Fabales; Fabaceae
Description: sequence contains ITS1, 5.8S rRNA gene, ITS2
Rfam family: 5.8S ribosomal RNA (bases 101-256)
Source: RNAcentral